AAAAAAAAAAGAGCAGAAAAUGCACAAUAUUAUUGAAAAAAUAACAAAAAGGUUAAUUCAAGCAUUAAAAACGUAAUUAAAACGAUGAACAGUCUUGGCGGAUACCCCAGAAUGGCAUCUGCAGUACAAGGAAAAGGGGUCUGCAUCACCCUGAAGCGAAAGUUGGAUGACUCGCAAUUGAGUGACCCCGAGGAACGACAGAAGCCAACAAUGCCGACCAUUAUGGCGAGAGGAUGAACAGACGCACAUUGAUUACAGAGAAUAGCACGUCAGCCGAUGGGCUCUAGAUCCGCAAAGAUGCCGCCGCCGAGCGGGCUCUUCGAGUAUUCGUUGGUACUACUGAAGCUGAACAUUUGGGUUAGGGCGACUCGCCACUAGCAAAGAUCCUGAGGUAGCGGAUAAGGAUGCGUCAACUGCUGGAGCUGGAUGAUCUGGCCUUGGCCUAUGGUACUCAUUUACUUCAUGGCGAAUGGCUUCAUUGCCAGCUACUCGGGAGUUCCUAUAGCUAGGCAUGCCCCGGCUCUACAGGUCUUUGACGACAACGUGGUGCUGCAUCCCAACGAGGGCUGAUCGCAGGUUGAGCUAUACAGUGCGCUAUAUAGUGUCCACCGAGGCACUGAGAAGACAAUUGAAACGGUUUUCGGAAGCAUGGAGGUGAAGGAUGAGGAUCGUACUCGUGACUGGCAGGUCUCCGAUAAACAGAUUGCCGAUGGGGACCAAUUCGCCAACUAUGUGGUCUAGCAG
This is a long non-coding RNA of Drosophila subobscura, 744 nucleotides long. RefSeq lists it as uncharacterized. NCBI's taxonomy places the organism in Eukaryota, Metazoa, Arthropoda, Insecta, Diptera, Drosophilidae. The transcript is spliced from 4 exons. The record is from RefSeq and is a predicted model, not a curated record.